Molecule: ribosomal RNA, 491 nt
Filed under: uncultured bacterium
Lineage: Bacteria
Description: partial 16S ribosomal RNA
Rfam family: Bacterial small subunit ribosomal RNA
Source: RNAcentral
AGUGAACGCUGGCGGUAGGCCUAACACAUGCAAGUCGAACGGCCGCACAGUAAGCGUUUGCUCUUACGGGUGGCGAGUGGCGGACGGGUGAGGAAUACAUCGCAUUCUACUUUUUCUUGGGGGAUAACGUAGGGAAACUUAUGCUAAUACCGCAUACGUCCUACGGGUUAAAUCAGUGGAUCUUCGGACCUUUCGCGUUUCUAUUAGCCGAUGUCGGAUUGGCUUGUUGGCGGGGUAAAGGCCCACCAUGGCGACGAUCCGUAGCUAGUCUGAGAGGAUGAUCAGCCACACUGGAACGGAGACACGGUCCAGACUCCUACGGGAGGAAGAAGUGGGGAAUAUUGGACAAUGGGGGCAGGCCUGAUGCAGACAGACCGGGGAGGUAAAGAAGGCCUUAGAGUUGUAAAGCCCUUUUGUUGGGAAGAAAAAGCAGCAGAUUAAUACCGCGCUGUUCGGACGGAACCCAAAGAAUAAGCACGGGCUAACUUCGG